This is a transfer RNA of Caldicellulosiruptor owensensis OL, 76 nucleotides long. It matches the Rfam family "tRNA". From Rfam's summary of the family: Transfer RNA (tRNA) molecules are approximately 80 nucleotides in length. Their secondary structure includes four short double-helical elements and three loops (D, anti-codon, and T loops). NCBI's taxonomy places the organism in Bacteria, Bacillati, Bacillota, Caldicellulosiruptorales, Caldicellulosiruptoraceae. The record is from Rfam.
CGGGGCGUAGCUCAGUUUGGUUAGAGCGCUAGCUUGGGGUGCUAGAGGUUCGCUGGUUCAAGUCCAGUCGCCCCGA